AAAAUAUAUCAUUAAGUGGUGUGAAUAAUACUAUAGUAGAAAAUGAUAAAAUGUGCGUCCAUGUUAAAGAAGAAAAAAUAGGAUCAAGUGAAGAGAAAAGGGGGUUACAUGUGGAAAAGGAGAAAGAGAAAGAGAAAGUAGAUGAAGAGAAGUAUGAGUGUCAGAAAAAAAACAUAAACGAUAACAGUGACACGAUAAAUAAUACUAGUACUAACAACAGCACCGGAAUUAACACGAACCCUAAUGCUAAUAUCGACAACAACAGCAACUACAAUACAGGCAUUUAUUCUAACACUUCCACUAACACUAAUGCUAAUAUUAACAACACCGAAAUUAACAAAAUUAUUUACAUCGAAAAAGGGAGUUCUCAAAAUGAUAUAAAUAAAACAAAUAACAUGUUUCAGUCAGUUAAAAAAAAAGAUCGUAACUUAUAUUCAGAUAAAUGUAAAAAAAAAAAAGCUGAAUGGACAAAUGAUGAAAUGACUUUUCUUCUUAUAUUGACGAAGACAUAUAUGAAUUAUAUAAAUGUUGAAGAAAUAAAAAAACAAACAAUAAUAAUGAAUAAUAGAGAACAUAAAAAUAAUGAAUUUGAUGUAAUAACUAUGACUAAUUCUAUGAGUAGUGAAAAUAAAAAUGAAAAAAAAAAAUUAGUAGCAGAUGAAAUGUUAAUAAAUAAAAAUAACAAAACAAAUAUAUAUAUACUUACUAAAAAUGAAAAAGUAUCAGAUGAUGAACAUAAGAGUAUAUUAAAUGAACCAAGCGAAUUACAUAAAAUAAAUAUUAUUUGUAAUAAUAGAAGCGAAAAUGAAUUAAACAGUGUUUCCAACGAUGUGGGUCAUACUAACGAUAUAAUUCAUAUGAACGAAUACCAAUUUGGUAAAGAUAAAACACAGGUUGAUAGAAAUGAAGUCAACCAUAUAGACAUUCCGAUUAUAUUUGGUACUGAAAAGCAUAAAGAAAACAUAAAAAUUACGAAUUCGGAAAAUAUAAAACCUGAGGAAAUAAAACCUGAGGAAAUAAAACCUGAAGAAAUAAAACCUGAGGAAAUAAAACCUGAGGAAAUAAAAUCUGAAGAAAUAAAACCCGCAGAAGUAAAACCAGAAAAAACAGAAAAAACAGAAUCUGAAGAGAUGGAAUAUGAAGAGAUGGAAUAUGAAGAGAUGGAAUAUGAAGAGACGGAAUCAGAAGAAAUGGAUGUGCAUAAAGAGUAUCAAAAUGAAAUAAAUACAAAAAAUAUUAAUUAUUAUAUUCAUUAUAUUAAUUGGGACAUAAUAU
This 1275-nucleotide long non-coding RNA is filed under the name Piliocolobus tephrosceles (Ugandan red Colobus). RNAcentral describes it as "lncRNA (ENSPTEG00000004490.1)". Lineage: Eukaryota; Metazoa; Chordata; Mammalia; Primates; Cercopithecidae. The record is from RNAcentral.